CCAGACUCCUACGGGAGGCAGCAGUGAGGAAUAUUGGUCAAUGGGCUAAGGCCUGAACCAGCCAAGUCGCGUGAGGGAAGACGGUCCUAUGGAUUGUAAACCUCUUUUGUCGGGGAGCAAAAGACGCCACGCGUGGCGUUCCGAGAGUACCCGAAGAAAAAGCAUCGGCUAACUCCGUGCCAGCAGCCGCGGUAAUACGGAGGAUGCGAGCGUUAUCCGGAUUUAUUGGGUUUAAAGGGUGCGUAGGCGGAACGCAAGUCCGGCGGGAAAGUCGGGGGGCCAACCCCCGGUCCGCCGUGGAAACUGGCGUUCUUGAGUGGGCGAGAAGUAUGCGGAAUGCGUGGUGUAGCGGUGAAAUGCAUAGAUAUCACGCAGAACUCCGAUUGCGAAGGCAGCAUGCCGGCGCCCAACUGACGCUGAAGCACGAAAGCGUGGGUAUCGAACAGGAUUAGAUACCCCAGUACA
RNAcentral lists this ribosomal RNA (465 nucleotides) under uncultured bacterium. RNAcentral's name for it is "bacterial SSU rRNA". It matches the Rfam family "Bacterial small subunit ribosomal RNA", at positions 331 to 794 of the family's 1533-position model. The record is from RNAcentral.